CGGCUCGUAUUGAUCCCUGCCGCCACGGACCUGUCGCGGUCGCGCGGCGCGGCGCAUCGCCAGUUCACGCACGGCGGCCAGCUCUUCGCUUCGCGUCGCGUUUCGCUCUCAUCUGCACCCGACAUGUUGUCGAGGUUAGUCCCCGAUGCUAGAGGCUAAAACCACCCACAGAGGUUAAGCCAGUCCUUUCCAGUCCCGUAAUUUCGAGUGGACCCUGCAGGAUUUCUUUUCAGGUGGUCUUUUGGGUGUUCAAGACAGGUUAGAGUGGUUUGUUUACGGAGCCGAUCAAGUGUCGGCAUUGAACGCUUCCGAGCGUGGCGAUGUGCUACCUUAUUGAGGUGGACUUCGACACAAAAAGUCGAACGCAGACGUUUCUAAUUUAUUGUACUCGGAAAACAAAAAUUUGUUCUGCU
This 413-nucleotide long non-coding RNA is filed under the name Bemisia tabaci. RNAcentral describes it as "lncRNA ENSASIAIIG010629". The record is from RNAcentral. Lineage: Eukaryota; Metazoa; Arthropoda; Insecta; Hemiptera; Aleyrodidae.